Molecule: transfer RNA, 78 nt
Filed under: Polyangiaceae bacterium
Lineage: Bacteria; Pseudomonadati; Myxococcota; Polyangiales; Polyangiaceae
Description: tRNA-Glu
Rfam family: tRNA
About the family: Transfer RNA (tRNA) molecules are approximately 80 nucleotides in length. Their secondary structure includes four short double-helical elements and three loops (D, anti-codon, and T loops). Further hydrogen bonds mediate the characteristic L-shaped molecular structure. tRNAs have two regions of fundamental functional importance: the anti-codon, which is responsible for specific mRNA codon recognition, and the 3' end, to which the tRNAs corresponding amino acid is attached (by aminoacyl-tRNA synthetases). tRNAs cope with the degeneracy of the genetic code in two manners: having more than one tRNA (with a specific anti-codon) for a particular amino acid; and 'wobble' base-pairing, i.e. permitting non-standard base-pairing at the 3rd anti-codon position.
Source: RNAcentral
GUCCCCAUCGUCUAGUCCGGUCCAGGACAGCGGCUUUUCACGCCGUCAACGCGGGUUCGAAUCCCGCUGGGGACGCCA